RNAcentral lists this long non-coding RNA (324 nucleotides) under Nicotiana benthamiana. RNAcentral describes it as "long non-coding RNA (NBEN_LNC034772)". Lineage: Eukaryota; Viridiplantae; Streptophyta; Magnoliopsida; Solanales; Solanaceae. The record is from RNAcentral.
CUUAACAGCUGGGCUAGAAAAACUAGCCUCACGCAUAACACGACUCACACUAGGAUCAUCGAGAAUAGAUAUAAUCAAUUGUUCUAAUUCAACUUUCACAGCUAAAAGCGGCUGUUGUUGUUGUUCAGGACAACCUCUACGUUGAUGAGCUUGUGCCCGCUUUAACGCAGCCAUAAGCGCAUUAGAAAUCGGAGGCUCAGUAGCUUGUGCCCGCUUUAACGCGGCCAUAAGCGCAUUAGAAAUCGGGGGCUCAGUCCCCGAUGGCAUAUUCUGUGCCGUAGGUAGCCGCUCCAGCGCGACGCUGAAGCAAAGCUCCAACGCUCG